This is a non-coding RNA of Gossypium hirsutum (cotton), 95 nucleotides long. The record is from Rfam. Lineage: Eukaryota; Viridiplantae; Streptophyta; Magnoliopsida; Malvales; Malvaceae.
UGUGGCAUUAUGAGAUUGUGCAACAUCAUCACUUGAAAAUUAAAAAAUAUAUAUGAAUUUUUAGGUGAUGAUGUGGUACAAUUUCAAAGUUUCAC